CCUACGGGGCGCAGCAGUGAGGAAUAUUGGUCAAUGGACGAGAGUCUGAACCAGCCAAGUAGCGUGAAGGAUGACGGUCCUAUGGAUUGUAAACCUCUUUUGUCGGGGAGCAAAAGACGCCACGCGUGGCGUUCCGAGAGUACCCGAAGAAAAAGCAUCGGCUAACUCCGUGCCAGCAGCCGCGGUAAUACGGAGGAUCCGAGCGUUAUCCGGAUUUAUUGGGUUUAAAGGGAGCGUAGAUGGGUUGUUAAGUCAGUUGUGAAAGUUUGCGGCUCAACCGUAAAAUUGCAAUUGAUACUGGCAGUCUUGAGUACAGUUGAGGUAGGCGGAAUUCGUGGUGUAGCGGUGAAAUGCUUAGAUAUCACGAAGAACCCCGAUUGCGAAGGCAGCUUACUAAACUGUGACUGACAUUGAUGCUCGAAAGUGUGGGUAUCAAACAGGAUUAGAUACCCUGGUAGUC
Molecule: ribosomal RNA, 460 nt
Filed under: uncultured bacterium
Lineage: Bacteria
Description: partial 16S ribosomal RNA
Rfam family: Bacterial small subunit ribosomal RNA
Source: RNAcentral